RNAcentral lists this ribosomal RNA (448 nucleotides) under uncultured bacterium. RNAcentral describes it as "bacterial SSU rRNA". It matches the Rfam family "Bacterial small subunit ribosomal RNA", at positions 398 to 839 of the family's 1533-position model. The record is from RNAcentral.
CGCGUGCAGGAAGAAGGCUUCGGGUUGUAACUGCUUUUGUACGGAACGAAAAGGUCUGCCCUAAUACGGCGGGUUCAUGACGGUACCGUAAGAAUAAGCACCGGCUAACUACGUGCCAGCAGCCGCGGUAAUACGUAGGGUGCGAGCGUUAAUCGGAAUUACUGGGCGUAAAGCGUGCGCAGGCGGUGAUGUAAGACAGUUGUGAAAUCCCCGGGCUCAACCUGGGAAUUGCAUCUGUGACUGCAUCGCUAGAGUACGGUAGAGGGGGAUGGAAUUCCGCGUGUAGCAGUGAAAUGCGUAGAUAUGCGGAGGAACACCGAUGGCGAAGGCAAUCCCCUGGACCUGUACUGACGCUCAUGCACGAAAGCGUGGGGAGCAAACAGGAUUAGAUACCCUGGUAGUCCCGCCCUAAACGAUGUCACUGGUUGUGGGUGCAUUAUACUCAGUA